RNAcentral lists this ribosomal RNA (117 nucleotides) under Phaethon lepturus (White-tailed tropicbird). The record is from RNAcentral. Lineage: Eukaryota; Metazoa; Chordata; Aves; Phaethontiformes; Phaethontidae.
GCAUAUGGCCUUACUACUGUGAACAUACCUGACCUCUUCUGAUCUCUGAAGCUAAUAGGUUGGGCCUGGUUAGUACUUGGGUGGGAAACCACUUGGGAAUACUGGGUGCUGUAGCCU